GCCCUACGGGACGCAGCAGUAGGGAAUUUUCGGCAAUGGGGGGAACCCUGACCGAGCAACGCCGCGUGAACGAAGAAGUAUUUCGGUAUGUAAAGUUCUUUUAUUGGAGAAGAAAGAGAAAUUUGACGGUAACCAAUGAAUAAGCUCCGGCUAACUACGUGCCAGCAGCCGCGGUAAUACGGAGGAUGCGAGCGUUAUCCGGAUUUAUUGGGUUUAAAGGGUGCGUAGGCGGUCCGUUAAGUCAGCGGUAAAAUUGCGGGGCUCAACCCCGUCGAGCCGUUGAAACUGGCAGACUUGAGUUGGCG
This 305-nucleotide ribosomal RNA is filed under the name uncultured bacterium. Its description in RNAcentral is "bacterial SSU rRNA". It matches the Rfam family "Bacterial small subunit ribosomal RNA", at positions 335 to 652 of the family's 1533-position model. The record is from RNAcentral.